GGGCGACCCAGAAUCUGAAGGAAGUCGGCGGCAAAUCUCCGCCCUUAGGAACACGAACUUCAUCAGGCUAGGUAUACUUGGGUGAGGUUGCAUUACAAACUAAAACCCUUACUGCCAAAGGGUAUACAAAGUAAAUGAAGUGGGGACAUGGAGAGGAAGAAU
RNAcentral lists this non-coding RNA (162 nucleotides) under Oceanobacillus profundus. The record is from RNAcentral. RNAcentral also lists the same sequence under 2 other names. Lineage: Bacteria; Bacillati; Bacillota; Bacilli; Caryophanales; Bacillaceae.